UAAGCGGAGGAAAAGAAACUAACAAUGAUUCCCCUAGUAACUGCGAGUGAAGAGGGACAAGCUCAAAUUUUAAAUCCGUUGGGUUUACCUAACCGAGUUGUAAUUUGAAGAGGCGUUUUCUGCGUUUUUGAUCAGUCCAAGUCCUUUGGGAUAAGGCAUCAUGGAGGGUGAGAAUCCCGUCCGGUUGAUCGGAUUCGCUUUACGAUACGUCAUCUAAGAGUCAAGUUGUUUGGGAUUGCAGCUUAAAAUGGGAGGUAAAUUUCUCCUAAGGCUAAAUAUUGGCGAGAGACCGAUAGCGAACAAGUACCGUGAGGGAAAGAUGAAAAGCACUUUGGAAAGAGAGUUAAACAGUACGUGAAAUUGUUGAAAGGGAAACGAUUGAAGUCAGUCGUGUCUGUUGGUUUCAGCCUUUACCGGUGUAUUACCAGCAGACGGGUCAACAUCAGUUUUGGACGGUGGAAAAAUGACGGGAGAACGUGGCACCCUCGGGUGUGUUAUAGCUCUCUGUUGCAUACACUGUCUGAGACUGAGGAAUGCAGCUUGCUUUAUGGCCGGGGUUCGCCCACGUACAAGCUUAGGAUGUUGACAUAAUGGCUUUAAACGACCCGUCUUGAAACACGGACCAAGGAGUCUAACAUAUGUGCGAGUG
Molecule: ribosomal RNA, 649 nt
Filed under: uncultured Acaulospora
Lineage: Eukaryota; Fungi; Glomeromycota; Glomeromycetes; Diversisporales; Acaulosporaceae
Description: LSU rRNA
Rfam family: Eukaryotic large subunit ribosomal RNA
Source: RNAcentral